UUUCUUUCUUUCUUUCUUUCUUUCUUUCUUUCUUUCUUUCUUUCUUUCUUUCUUUCUUUUUUUUCUCCUUUUGCUAGUGAAGGAGAAUUGGAUUGGUUAUUUUCAGAACAGGCAGCCUAAAUUGAUGCACAAAUCAGUAGCAUCCUUUUUGGAGUGGCCAUCACAUGAAUUCUUUGGAGAUCUCUGAAGAAAACAGAAAGAAACUGAAAUGGCAUGAAUGAAUUAAUCGUGCCAGAUUCUCCAACACUUCCUCAGGAGACCCUAUUGCUCUGAUCAAGAAGUUCCAUCAGCACCGAAGAAAACAGCAGUCCCGGAUAACCACCAUCAACUUUCCGUUUCCAUGAAUUUGAUUACUUUGGAUACCUCAUGUCCACAGUAGCUCUGCAUAUUUACUGGUUACAUGAAAUAUUUUGAUCCAGGCAGAAGAGCCCCAUCCCAUGGCCACCAUCACAACAGGCCCAUUGGAGGUACUAGCGCGGUACCACUGAUAUUCCCACAAGGCUCAAGUGCUCCUCAUUCAGUUUUGGCUUCUGGCCCUGUGGCUGGAUGGGAGAAGAUCUGUGACACUCCCUGGAGACCUAUUCCCCAUUGUCUUGGUGAUUAACAUUCAGCUCCUUGUUACUUAUGCAAAUUUCUGUAGCAGGGGUAAAGAGGUUGCUGACGUAUGAUGAAGUAGAGUGAGAAAAUCACGCAUCUUGUAAAUUCCCAUUUUUUAAAAAGUCAUAGAAAAUAAAUGUCUUCUGAGAAUGAAUUUUUGAAAUGGCAUUGUUAGACUACUUCUGAAAGUGACACCAGAAGUGACACAUUGACAUUUGUUCAGUGGACAUGGAGCAGAAGACUUAAGGAGGAAGAGAAGGUGGUUCUAUGCCAGACUGGUCAUAUUUAGAAGUCAUUUUUAUAUCAUAACCAUUGUUUUUUGUGUGCAUUUUAUUCCUCACUACUGUAUAUAUGAUUGACAAUGCUAAAUACUUUUUUGAAUUAUCUAUUUUUUCUAGAUAUCCUGAAGUGCCUUAUAUGUGUUAAAAUUAGAGGUAGUAAAAUAACAUAUUUUCCAAUUACAUUUUUGUUAAAAUUUACAUGAAAUGUUGCUUUGUGGAGGAAAUGACCAAACCACUUUUUGAGUAAUACAUAUUAGGUUUGUGCACUAGUUCAGGGGAAGAGGAAGGAGGAGGAAGUGUACAGAGCUUCAUGCCAGUGUGCUUACAGUAAGGUAAACAUGGUAAACCCUGUCUCUACUAAAGAUAAAAAAAUUAGCCAGGUGUGGUGGUGGGUGCCUGUAAUCCCAGUUACUCAGGAGGCUGAGGCAGGAGAAUCACUUGAACCUGGGAGGCGGAGGUUGCACUGAACCAAGUUUGCACCACUGAACUCCAGCCUGGGCAACAGAGUGAGACUUGGUCGCAAAAAAAAAAAAA
RNAcentral lists this long non-coding RNA (1412 nucleotides) under Homo sapiens (human). RNAcentral describes it as "HSALNT0408135". Lineage: Eukaryota; Metazoa; Chordata; Mammalia; Primates; Hominidae. The record is from RNAcentral.